GGUAGCGUGGCCGAGCGGUCUAAGGCACCAGUCUCUCCGGAGGCGUGGGUUCGAAUCCCACCAGCUGCCA
Molecule: transfer RNA, 70 nt
Filed under: Trichonephila inaurata madagascariensis
Lineage: Eukaryota; Metazoa; Arthropoda; Arachnida; Araneae; Nephilidae
Description: tRNA-Glu
Rfam family: tRNA
About the family: Transfer RNA (tRNA) molecules are approximately 80 nucleotides in length. Their secondary structure includes four short double-helical elements and three loops (D, anti-codon, and T loops). Further hydrogen bonds mediate the characteristic L-shaped molecular structure. tRNAs have two regions of fundamental functional importance: the anti-codon, which is responsible for specific mRNA codon recognition, and the 3' end, to which the tRNAs corresponding amino acid is attached (by aminoacyl-tRNA synthetases). tRNAs cope with the degeneracy of the genetic code in two manners: having more than one tRNA (with a specific anti-codon) for a particular amino acid; and 'wobble' base-pairing, i.e. permitting non-standard base-pairing at the 3rd anti-codon position.
Source: RNAcentral